CCUACGGGAGGCAGCAGUGGGGAAUAUUGGGCAAUGGGCGCAAGCCUGACCCAGCAACGCCGCGUGAAGGAAGAAGGCUUUCGGGUUGUAAACUUCUUUUGUCAGGGACGAAGCAAGUGACGGUACCUGACGAAUAAGCCACGGCUAACUACGUGCCAGCAGCCGCGGUAAUACGUAGGUGGCAAGCGUUAUCCGGAUUUACUGGGUGUAAAGGGCGUGUAGGCGGGGAAGCAAGUCAGAUGUGAAAACCACGGGCUCAACCUGUGGCCUGCAUUUGAAACUGUUUUUCUUGAGUGCUGGGGAGGCAAUCGGAAUUCCGGGUGUAGCGGUGAAAUGCGUAGAUAUACGGAGGAACACCAGUGGCGAAGGCGGAUUGCUGGACAGUAACUGACGCUGAGGCGCGAAAGCGUGGGGAGCAAACAGGAUUAGAUACCCUUGUAGUC
RNAcentral lists this ribosomal RNA (443 nucleotides) under uncultured bacterium. Its description in RNAcentral is "partial 16S ribosomal RNA". It matches the Rfam family "Bacterial small subunit ribosomal RNA", at positions 338 to 795 of the family's 1533-position model. The record is from RNAcentral.